Molecule: ribosomal RNA, 452 nt
Filed under: Bombus terrestris (buff-tailed bumblebee)
Lineage: Eukaryota; Metazoa; Arthropoda; Insecta; Hymenoptera; Apidae
Also listed under: 2 other names
Description: partial large subunit ribosomal RNA
Source: RNAcentral
AUGAUUUUAAAUAAUUAAAUGGCUGCGGUAUAAUUGACUGUACAAAGGUAGCAUAAUCAAUUGUUUUUUAAUUAAAAACUGGAAUGAAAGAGUUAAUGAGAUAUACACUGUCUCAUAUAUAUUAAAUUAAUUUAAAUUUUUAGUUAAAAUGCUAAAAUUAAUUUAUGGGACGAUAAGACCCUAUAGAAUUUUAUAUUAAUAUUUUAAUUAUAAUUUUAUUAUUGAAUAUUAAUAUUUUGUUGGGAGGAUAGGUAAAUUUAUUAAACUUUAUUUUAAAUAUUAACUUUAAUUAAAGAAUAUAUUUUGAUCUUUUAGUAAAAAUGAAAAGAGUAAAUUACCUUAGGGAUAACAGCGUAAUAUCUUUUUAAAGAUCUUAUUGAAAAAGAUGAUUGCGACCUCGAUGUUGAAUUAAGAUAAAUUUUAAAUGAAGAAAUUUAAUAAUUAAGUCUGUU